RNAcentral lists this unclassified non-coding RNA (341 nucleotides) under soil metagenome. RNAcentral's name for it is "partial contains 5.8S ribosomal RNA, internal transcribed spacer 2, and large subunit ribosomal RNA". The stretch from base 1 to 120 matches the Rfam family "5.8S ribosomal RNA", at positions 35 to 154 of the family's 154-position model. The record is from RNAcentral.
GAUGAAGAACGCAGUGAAAUGCGAUACGUAAUGUGAAUUGCAGAAUUCAGUGAAUCAUCGAAUCUUUGAACGCACAUUGCGCCCUUUGGUAUUCCAAAGGGCAUGCCUGUUCGAGCGUCAUUUGUACCCUCAAGCUUUGCUUGGUGUUGGGCGUCUUGUCUCUAGCUUUGCUGGAGACUCGCCUUAAAGUAAUUGGCAGCCGGCCUACUGGUUUCGGAGCGCAGCACAAGUCGCACUCUCUAUCAGCAAAGGUCUAGCAUCCAUUAAGCCUUUUUUUCAACUUUUGACCUCGGAUCAGGUAGGGAUACCCGCUGAACUUAAGCAUAUCAAUAAGCGGAGGA